AUACUAUUUAUAGUACCGGAGCCUAUAUAUAUAUAUAUAUAUAGCUAGUCUCCUAUACUAUUUAUAGUACCGGGGCUCCGGUACUAUAGUCCAGUUUUCUAUCUUAGGAUAUUCAAAUCAAUGAUCCACACCGUUAAAACUGAUCUAGGGUAUUUAAAGUUUUUAGAAAUAAAAUUUUAUAUUUUUCGACAUAGUUUACUUUAUGAUCAAACUAUUUCAAAAUUGUCAAUUUUUAAUGACUACUAUGGCGAGUUUGGAGUUUGACGGUGUAGAAGAAUAAAAAUUUCUUCAAAUUUUGAUAGAAAAUACUUUAAACUAUCUAAAUUAAGGUUGACAUUCUUGAUCUUGAAUUUAAAAGUCUUUUGUUCAAAUUUUAAAGAUUAUUCAAUUUUCACCAUCUAUUUUGACAUAAUUUAGUUACUAAGUAAACGAUGUCGAAAAAAAUUAAAAUUUUAUUCCUAAGAACUUCAUAUAUCCUAGAUAAUAUUUAACGGUGUGGAUCGUUAAUUUGAACACUCUAAGAUCGAAAACAACACUAUAGUACCGAAUCUCCGGUACUAUAGAUAGUAUAGUAAUCUAAUUCUAUAUAUAUAUAUAGAGUUGGACUGGGCUACUAUUAGUAGCAAAAUUUCAUUGUUGCUAUCAGUUUUUUAGCCUUUGGAUCAACUUUUUUCCUUAUUUCUAAUCAUUGGAUUAAAUACUAUAAUCUAGUGGGGACCACUCAACCCUAGGAGGACCACUCAACUCUAACCGACUAAUAUCAUCCUAACCCUAUAAUUUUUCAUCCAAGGGUUAAAAACUUGAUAGCAAAAAGAGCGUUUUACUAUUAAUAGUAUUCUAACCUAAUUUUAUUUCUAAUCAUUGGAUUAAAUACUAUAAUCCAGUGGGGACCACUCAACCUUAGGGGGACCACUCAACUCUAACCGACUAAUAUCAUCCUAACCCUAUAAUUUUUCAUCCAAGGGUUAAAAACUUGAUAGCAAAAAGAGCGUUUUACUAUUAAUAGUAUUCUAACCUAAUUCAUAUAGAGUUGGACUAGACUACUAUUAGUAGCAAAAUUUCAUUGUUGCUACCAGUUGUUUAGCCUUUGGGUCAACUUUUUUCAUUAUUUCUAACCAUUGGAUUAAAUACUAUAAUCCAGUGGGGACCACUCAACUCUAACCGACUAAUAUCAUCCUGACCCUACAAUUUUACAUCCAAGGGUUAAAAACUUGAUAGCAAAAAGAGCGUUUUACUAUUAAUAGUAUUCCAGCCUAAUUCUAUAUAUAUAUAUAUAUAUAUAUAGAGCUAGGCUACUAUACUAUCGGUAGCACGGAGCGCUCCGUGCUACCAAGUUGUUUUCGAUGAUGUGGCUUCCAAAUCGACGAUCGGCUCCGUUAGAGUUAAUCUACAUUAUUGAAAGUAUUUAGAAACUAAAAUUUAUAAUUUUUCGAUAUCAUUUACCUAUCAAACAAGUAGUCUAAAAUUGAACGGCUGAAAAUAAAAAUCUCAUAAAAAAUGAUGAUAAAAGAUUUAAAUUCAAGAUCAGAUAUACUGAUCUUACUCUAAAUAGUGAAAAGAAUUUUCUAUAAAAUUUUCAUCGCAUUUGGAUUGUUUUACACCGUUAAACUCACAAACACACCACAUCGGCCAUUAAAAUUGUCAAUUUUGAGAUCUUUUGAUCACUAGUCAAAUGAUGUCGAAAAAAUUUGAAAUUUAGUUUCCAAAUACUUUCAAUAGUGUAGAUCAAGUCUAACGGAGCCGAUCGUCGAUUUGGAAGCCGCAUCAUCGAAAACAACUUGGUAGCACGGAGCGCUCCGUGCUACCGAUAGCAUAGUAGCCGGACUCUAUAUAUAUAUAUAUAUAUAUAUAUAUAUAUAUAGAAUUGAGCUCCUAUGCUUUUAAAAGUAUCAAGGCAUUGGUGCUUGUAGAUUUUUAGCCAUUGGAUUAAGAAAUAUGCGGUUAGGAUGAUGUGGGCCGCUUAGGGUUGAAUGGGUGGUUGAUUGAAUAGUAUAAUCUAAUGGUUGAAAAUGAUCCGUGGAGUAAAUCUCACGGUAAAAAACUAGGCUAAUAUAUAACUAGGAUAAUAUAUAUUAAUAGCACCAAGUUAUUGGUGCUACUAAGUUUUUGGCCAUUGCAUUAAGUGAUGUGCGGUUAGGAUGAUGUGGGCCCCCUAGGAUUGAGUCGGUUGGGUGGUUAGUUAAAUAGUAUAAUCUAACUGGUGAACAUGAUCAAAAGGGUAGAUUUAACGACGGAAAACUCGGUAGCACCAAGUGCUCCGUGCUAUUAAUAGCAUAGUAGCCGGACUCUAUAUAUAUAUAUAUAUAUAUAGUCUAUCUACUAUCCUAUUAAUAUGAUUGAGGACAUUGUCCUAUCAAGUCGUUUUGAAUGAUCGGAACUUCAAAUUGAUAAUCGGCACCGUUGAAAUUGAUCUACACAAUUAGAAAGGUUUAGAAACCAAAUUUUAUAAUAUUUAAAAAUUAUUACGAAGUUCAUUGAGGAGUUGAAAAAUGAACGGUCAUAAAUGAAUAACUUUCUUAAAAUAGAAGUUUGACUUUCUCAAUUCAUAAUCAGAGUUAUCAAACAUUAUCUAAAUAGUAUAAAGAAUUUUCUAUCGAAAAUUCAAGCAAUUUGGAUUGCUCUACACUGUUAAACAAGCAAACGGCUCAUAUAGGCCGUCAAAAAUUGUCGAUUUUACGACACUUAAUUUGAUCACCAUGUAAAUAAUUUUUAAAAUUUAUGAAAUUUAGUUUCUAGAUAUUUCAAAUACUCUAGAUCAACUUCAACGGCUCCGAUCAUCGAUUCAAAAUCUCUAUCAUCAAGAACAACUUGAUAGGAUAAGUUCUACUAUUCUUUUAAGAGGAUAGUAGCUCCGGCCU
Molecule: long non-coding RNA, 2858 nt
Filed under: Ananas comosus (pineapple)
Lineage: Eukaryota; Viridiplantae; Streptophyta; Magnoliopsida; Poales; Bromeliaceae
Description: long non-coding RNA (ACOM_LNC025179)
Source: RNAcentral